RNAcentral lists this ribosomal RNA (253 nucleotides) under uncultured bacterium. Its description in RNAcentral is "partial 16S ribosomal RNA". It matches the Rfam family "Bacterial small subunit ribosomal RNA", at positions 524 to 776 of the family's 1533-position model. The record is from RNAcentral.
UACGUAGGAUGCUAGCGUUGUCCGGAUUUACUGGGCGUAAAGCGCGCGCAGGCGGCACUGUAAGUAAGGUGUGAAAUAUCCCUGCUCAACGGGGAGGGUGCACUUUAGACUGCAGAGCUAGAGGACGGUAGAGGGGGGUGGAAUUGCUGGUGUAGCGGUGAAAUGCGUAGAGAUCAGCAGGAACACCCGUGGCGAAGGCGGCCCCCUGGGCCGAACCUGACGCUGAGGAGCGAAAGCAUGGGGAGCGAACAGG